Molecule: ribosomal RNA, 437 nt
Filed under: uncultured bacterium
Lineage: Bacteria
Description: partial 16S ribosomal RNA
Rfam family: Bacterial small subunit ribosomal RNA
Source: RNAcentral
AGCGAACGCUGGCGGCAGGCUUAACACAUGCAAGUCGAGCGGGCAUCCUUGUGGUGUCCGCGGCAGACGGGUGAGUAACGCGUGGGAACGUGCCCUUCGUUUCGGACUAACUCAGGGAAACUUGAGCUAAUACCGGAUACGUGCUAGAGCAGAAUGGUUUAUCUGCCGAAGGGUCGGCCCGCGUCUGAUUUUCUAGUUGGUGAGGAUACGGCUCCCCAAGGCGUCGAUCAGUAGCUAGUGUGCGAGGAUGAGCAGGCACACUGGGGCUGAGACACGGUCGAGAAUCCUACGGGAGGGGGGAGUGGGUGAUAUAGCACAACGGGGGCAACGCUGAUCCAGCCAGGCUGGGAGAGUGAUGAUGGUCUGAGGGUUGUAAAGCUCUUUUAUCCGGGACGAUAAUGACGGUACCGGAGGAAUAAGCCCCGGCUAACUUCGUG